AAACUAAGCUGUCAGGGAGCACCAUUGUCCCCAGGCUGAGUCUCCAUGGCCGGCUCAUCCGUUGCAUGUUGGCUGUGCUGACAUGUUUUCCCUAAAUGGGAAAAACUCAGCUGUAUAAUUUGUGGUGGUAAGGAAUAGCAUCAUUCUCUUUU
Molecule: small nuclear RNA, 152 nt
Filed under: Sorex araneus (European shrew)
Lineage: Eukaryota; Metazoa; Chordata; Mammalia; Eulipotyphla; Soricidae
Description: U1 spliceosomal RNA (ENSSARG00000020127.1)
Rfam family: U1 spliceosomal RNA
About the family: U1 is a small nuclear RNA (snRNA) component of the spliceosome (involved in pre-mRNA splicing). Its 5' end forms complementary base pairs with the 5' splice junction, thus defining the 5' donor site of an intron.
Source: RNAcentral